Molecule: ribosomal RNA, 460 nt
Filed under: uncultured bacterium
Lineage: Bacteria
Description: partial 16S ribosomal RNA
Rfam family: Bacterial small subunit ribosomal RNA
Source: RNAcentral
CCUACGGGAGGCAGCAGUGAGGAAUAUUGGUCAAUGGGCGGGAGCCUGAACCAGCCAAGUCGCGUGAGGGAAGACGGUCCUAUGGAUUGUAACCCUCUUUAGGCGGGGAGCAAUGCCGGGCACGCGUGCACGGAGGGAGAGUACCCGCAGAAUAAGCAUCGGCUAACUCCGUGCCAGCAGCCGCGGUAAUACGGAGGAUGCGAGCGUUAUCCGGAUUUAUUGGGUUUAAAGGGUGCUUAGGCGGAUUUUUAAGUCAGCGGUAAAAUGUCCGGGCUCAACCCGGGCCGGCCGUUGAAACUGGGGAUCUUGAGUGGGCGAGAAGUAUGCGGAAUGCGUGGUGUAGCGGUGAAAUGCAUAGAUAUCACGCAGAACUCCGAUUGCGAAGGCAGCAUACCGGCGCCCGACUGACGCUGAGGCACGAAAGCGUGGGUAGCAAACAGGAUUAGAUACCCGUGUAGUC